RNAcentral lists this small RNA (38 nucleotides) under Romboutsia ilealis. RNAcentral describes it as "CRISPR spacer". The record is from RNAcentral. Lineage: Bacteria; Bacillati; Bacillota; Clostridia; Peptostreptococcales; Peptostreptococcaceae.
AUGAAAGUGGGAGUGCGAGUGAUGUCUACCAAAAACUG